GCUGAGUAUAGCUCAGUUGAUAGAGUACUUGCCUUCCAUGCACAAAGCCCUGGGGUUCAAUCCCCAGCUCCGCA
Molecule: transfer RNA, 74 nt
Filed under: Marmota monax (woodchuck)
Lineage: Eukaryota; Metazoa; Chordata; Mammalia; Rodentia; Sciuridae
Description: tRNA.Gly
Source: RNAcentral